CCUACGGGUGGCUGCAGUGGGGAAUUUUGCACAAUGGGGGAAACCCUGAUGCAGCAACGCCGCGUGAGUGAGGAAGUAUUUCGGUAUGUAAAGCUCUGUCAGCAGGGACUAGAAAAGAAGGUACCUAAAAAAGAAGCCCCGGCUAACUACGUGCCAGCAGCCGCGGUAAUACGGAGGGGGCAAGCGUUAUCCGGAUUUACUGGGCGUAAAGGGAGCGUAGACGGAAAGGGAAGUCAGAAGUGAAAGCCCAAAGCUCAACCAUGGGACGGCUCUUGAAACUGGCAAACUAGAGUGCGGGAGAGGUAAGGGGAAUUCCUAGUGUAGCGGUGAAAUGCGUAGAUAUUAGGAGGAACACCAGUGGCGAAGGCGUUUUACUGGACCGAAACUGACGUUGAGGAUCGAAAGCGUGGGGAGCAAACAGGAUUAGAUACCCCAGUAGUC
This 441-nucleotide ribosomal RNA is filed under the name uncultured bacterium. RNAcentral's name for it is "partial 16S ribosomal RNA". It matches the Rfam family "Bacterial small subunit ribosomal RNA", at positions 338 to 795 of the family's 1533-position model. The record is from RNAcentral.